Molecule: long non-coding RNA, 2197 nt
Filed under: Homo sapiens (human)
Lineage: Eukaryota; Metazoa; Chordata; Mammalia; Primates; Hominidae
Description: HSALNT0314016
Source: RNAcentral
UGCUUAAAUCUUUUUACUCUCUGAGUUAUGAAUUUAGGUUAGUUCUACAUCCAAGAUAAAUCUCAAUUAAUUCUUCUUUUUUCUUUUCCCAUUUCCUCCUGUCUCCCUCUCUUCUUUCCUUCUACUCUUUUCUUCACUUUUCUCUCUCUCUUCUUCUCAGUUUUUAUUUUUGUAAUUUGAAAUCAAUGUGCAAGCCAGAGCUUCUUUAGGAAAGACCAUUCCUGAGAGAACAACAGGAAGAAAUAUGAAUGUUAAACAUGUGGUGCCGUGUGGAAGCAAAGCUCCAUAAUUAAUCUAUAGAGCCAUCACCACUGUCAAAAGCAGAAAGGCCCCAGAGGAAAUAAUUUUUGUAUAGAAUGAUGGCAGCAUUAGUGACAGCAGUAAUGAUAAGACACUGAAAAGUAUGUGAAAAUUUCCUUUACAAUCCUGUGUGAGGUUUAAUUAUAAAAACUAGUAUCUUGGACACUUAACUAUUUUUUUUCAGAGGGAAUCAGAGCUAUUUCCAUGAAUUAAUGUCUUAAUCCCCACAACAAUGAGGUCGUGGUCAUCUAGUUGUAGAAUGACUCCUGCCUGCUACAUUUCCCCAGAUACCCAGGACCUUCAUGCUGUCACUCUCCAUGACCUGACCAACAUCUAUUUUGAGAAAUUAUUUUAUAUACUCAUUCAAACAGUCAUCUUUUGUGUCCAGAGUUGGUUCCUUCUGGUGGGUUCGUGGUCUCGCUAACUUCAAGAAUGGAGCCACGGACCUUCGCGAUUUACAUACAAAUGAACCACCAAUGUCCCCUUCUAUCAACUCAGAAUAAAAUCUGGUUUUAGCAUAUGCAGUCCUACGAGACAUGGUUAAAGGAUAUGAAUGAUAGAUAGAGAUAAAAGAAAUCAAGGACCAUUCCUCCACAAGUCUCCAAAGAGGAAAACAACAAUCGAAGAAAAAAGAGUGAGAGAACAGAUGGGCUGGCAGAGUUUUGCUUUCUAUGUGACAUUGUGUACUUAUUAUUCGCAUGAGGACUAAUUUAUAAACCCGGAUAGUGUUUAUAAACUAUACUGUCCUAAUGGAAAUGAAAGCAUUAAUACAACUAGAAGAUUCUUUACUUUCCAAGCUUUAAUUAAAAUCACAGGCGUUAAGAAGCAAAAGUGCCUUCAUGGAAUACAAGCCUAAUGAAGGAUUUCCUUGCCUAGCACAGAGCUCUGUGUGCAGUCCCAGCUUGCUGGCACCAGCCACUGGAAAAGCCGACCCCCGUGUAACCAAAAGAGCUCUCUCUGAAAAUUAGAAAAGCAAAUCAUACCACACAUUUUUUUUUUCAAAUAAAUAUAGUUGCCAAGUCAGAUCCAGGAAAAACAAUAGCACGUCAUAAGUAAAACACACACACACACACACAGACACAGACACAGACACACACACACACACACAGCCUUAGAACAUGCUAUGUUAAUUAGCUACCUGGAAGACCAGAGGCAAAUGUGUUUGUUCUAUGCGCUGAACACUUAAAAGGGAGAGGGAAAGGUGUCAGCUUGGGAAAGAGGAAUGUGGAAAUAUGGCAAAGACAAUCUAAGAGGAGAGAGAGAAAGGAAACAAGAGGAAAGGAUUCGACAGAGGAAUUUCACAACAGCAUAGAAGAAUAGAUCAGGAGUUUUGCUACCAAAUAAUGGAGAAAAAAUACACAGAAGCCUAGGAAGUGACCUUGAUUAAAACGCCCACCAUGUGAAUGCUACUCAGCCGACACACUCAUUUUGCCUCUUAAAGGUAUCACCUCAUUUAUGUGUAGGCAAAUUAAGGUUGUAGUGGAAUUAAACUGUCUUCCCUGUAAAUCAGACAGCAAAAAGGAACAGGGAGCUACAUAUAUAUAUUAUAUAUAUGUAGUUACCACCUGCUUUGUUUAGUGAUGAUGAUAAUGGUGAUAAUGAUGAUGCUUGUUAACGAUAAUGACAUAAAUGAUGACAGUAUAUGCAAUAUAUUAAGUACCAAUGUUAGGUUAGGUAAUAUGCUAGGUGUUUUACAAGGAUCAUUUCUAAUUCAUAGAACAACUCUGGGAGAUAGGUGUUAUUUACCACUUAAUAGUAUAUACAUAUACAUUACCCCAAAUUAUACAACUAUUGAGUGACAGCCUGUAUUUGAAGGAGCGCUUUAAACGAACAGGAUUUUUAUUUUAUUAUUUAUUUAUUUAUUUAUUUUGAGACAGGGUCUCACUCUGUUGCCCAG